RNAcentral lists this ribosomal RNA (459 nucleotides) under uncultured bacterium. RNAcentral describes it as "bacterial SSU rRNA". It matches the Rfam family "Bacterial small subunit ribosomal RNA", at positions 339 to 796 of the family's 1533-position model. The record is from RNAcentral.
CUACGGGAGGCAGCAGUGGGGAAUAUUGCACAAUGGACGCAAGUCUGACCCAGCCAUGCCGCGUGGAGGAUGAAGGUCCUCUGGAUUGUAAACUUCUUUUAUCUGGGAAGAAACCCAUGGUUUCUACUGUGGUUGACGGUACCAGAUGAAUAAGCACCGGCUAACUCCGUGCCAGCAGCCGCGGUAAUACGGAGGGUGCAAGCGUUAUCCGGAUUCACUGGGUUUAAAGGGUGCGUAGGCGGAUUGGGAAGUCCGUGGUGAAAUCCCCGAGCUUAACUUGGGAACUGCCGUGGAUACUCUCAAUCUUGAAUAUCGUGGAGGUAAGCGGAAUAUGUCAUGUAGCGGUGAAAUGCUUAGAUAUGACAUAGAACACCAAUUGCGAAGGCAGCUUGCUACACGGUCAUUGACGCUGAGGCACGAAAGCGUGGGGAUCAAACAGGAUUAGAAACCCAGUAGUCC